This 228-nucleotide ribosomal RNA is filed under the name uncultured bacterium. Its description in RNAcentral is "partial 16S ribosomal RNA". It matches the Rfam family "Bacterial small subunit ribosomal RNA", at positions 568 to 795 of the family's 1533-position model. The record is from RNAcentral.
UACGUAGGCGGUUUGUUUAGUCAGAUGUGAAAGCCCCGGGCUUAACCUGGGAACUGCAUUUGAAACUGGCAAGCUAGAAUAUGGUAGAGGGGGGUAGAAUUUCUAGUGUAGCGGUGAAAUGCGUAGAUAUUAGAAGGAAUACCAGUGGCGAAGGCGGCCCCCUGGACCAAUAUUGACGCUGAGGUACGAAAGCGUGGGUAGCGAACAGGAUUAGAUACCCUGGUAGUC